CCUACGGGAGGCUGCAGUGAGGAAUAUUGGUCAAUGGACGAGAGUCUGAACCAGCCAAGUAGCGUGAAGGAUGACUGCCCUAUGGGUUGUAAACUUCUUUUAUAUGGGAAUAAAACGUUCCACGUGUGGGAUUUUGUAUGUACCAUAUGAAUAAGGAUCGGCUAACUCCGUGCCAGCAGCCGCGGUAAUACGGAGGAUCCGAGCGUUAUCCGGAUUUAUUGGGUUUAAAGGGAGCGUAGGUGGAUUGUUAAGUCAGUUGUGAAAGUUUGCGGCUCAACCGUAAAAUUGCAGUUGAAACUGGCAGUCUUGAGUACAGUAGAGGUGGGCGGAAUUCGUGGUGUAGCGGUGAAAUGCUUAGAUAUCACGAAGAACACCGAUUGCGAAGGCAGUUCACUGGACUGCAACUGACACUGAGGCUCGAAAGUGUGGGUAUCAAACAGGAUUAGAUACCCUUGUAGUC
Molecule: ribosomal RNA, 460 nt
Filed under: uncultured bacterium
Lineage: Bacteria
Description: partial 16S ribosomal RNA
Rfam family: Bacterial small subunit ribosomal RNA
Source: RNAcentral